This 269-nucleotide ribosomal RNA is filed under the name uncultured bacterium. Its description in RNAcentral is "partial 16S ribosomal RNA". It matches the Rfam family "Bacterial small subunit ribosomal RNA", at positions 123 to 406 of the family's 1533-position model. The record is from RNAcentral.
UAUCUGUCCAUGGGUGGGGGAUAACGGCGGGAAACUGCUGCUAAUACCGCAUGACACCUGAGGGUCAAAGGCGCAAGUCGCCUGUGGAGGAGCCUGCGUACGAUUAGCUUGUUGGUGGGGUAAAGGCCUACCAAGGCUACGAUCGUUAGCUGGUCUGAGAGGAUGAUCAGCCACAUUGGGACUGAGACACGGCCCAAACUCCUACGGGAGGCAGCAGUGGGGAAUAUUGGACAAUGGGCGAAAGCCUGAUCCAGCAAUGCCGCGUGUGU